AUUGAACGCUGGCGGCAGGCCUAACACAUGCAAGUCGAACGGUAACAGGGAUCAGCUUGCUGAUUCGCUGACGAGUGGCGGACGGGUGAGUAAUGUCUGGGAAACUGCCUGAUGGAGGGGGAUAACUACUGGAAACGGUAGCUAAUACCGCAUAACGUCGCAAGACCAAAGAGGGGGACCUUCGGGCCUCUUGCCAUCGGAUGUGCCCAGAUGGGAUUAGCUAGUAGGCGGGGUAACGGCUCACCUAGGCGACGAUCCCUAGCUGGUCUGAGAGGAUGACCAGCCACACUGGAACUGAGACACGGUCCAGACUCCUACGGGAGGCAGCAGUGGGGAAUAUUGCACAAUGGGCGCAAGCCUGAUGCAGCCAUGCCGCGUGUAUGAAGAAGGCCUUCGGGUUGUAAAGUACUUUCAGCGGGGAGGAAGGGAGUAAAGUUAAUACCUUUGCUCAUUGACGUUACCCGCAGAAGAAGCACCGGCUAACUCCGUG
This 490-nucleotide ribosomal RNA is filed under the name uncultured bacterium. Its description in RNAcentral is "partial 16S ribosomal RNA". It matches the Rfam family "Bacterial small subunit ribosomal RNA", at positions 30 to 507 of the family's 1533-position model. The record is from RNAcentral.